UACGUAGGCGGAAAAUUAAGUCAGUAGUGAAAUCCUGCAGCUUAACUGUAGAACUGUUAUCGAUACUGGUUUUCUUGAAUAUAGUUGAAGUAGGCGGAAUGUGUAAUGUAGCGGUGAAAUGCUUAGAUAUUACACAGAACACCGAUUGCGAAGGCAGCUUACUAAGCUAUGAUUGACGCUGAGGUACGAAAGCGUGGGGAGCGAACAGGAUUAGAUACCCUGGUAGUCC
This 229-nucleotide ribosomal RNA is filed under the name uncultured bacterium. RNAcentral describes it as "partial 16S ribosomal RNA". It matches the Rfam family "Bacterial small subunit ribosomal RNA", at positions 568 to 796 of the family's 1533-position model. The record is from RNAcentral.